RNAcentral lists this long non-coding RNA (851 nucleotides) under Equus asinus (donkey). Its description in RNAcentral is "lncRNA (ENSEASG00005033200.1)". The record is from RNAcentral. Lineage: Eukaryota; Metazoa; Chordata; Mammalia; Perissodactyla; Equidae.
CGUGUACACUUCUCAACCCCCUGGAGCAUACCCCGAUGCCACACUGCAGAGGCCCCCACCUCUCCACCAAUGCCCCCCACAGUUCACCUGGUCCUCACACAGGCCCUGCCCCACAGAGGCAGACACCCUUCCUGCCUGUAGAGGAUCAAGGCACCCAGUCAGUGCAGGCUGAAAAGUAGCUUGAGGGCUUGCUGUUAGGUGAGGCCAGUCCCUAGGGUGGGUUGCCUGCCCUGGCUGAACUGGAUUAAAUCUGUGCUCUAGUGGGCGUGGCAGACCCCUGGGGUAACAGGCCAAGGGAUGAACCUCAAUGGCCCCCACCUGGGUCUGUAUCAGCACGCCUGGACCAGCUCAGAACAAUGGCCCCCACCAAUGUCUCAGUCUCUGAAGAGGUCCCUCCUCUCACCAAGAUGCCCCCAGAUCCCACCAGAGCACAGAUCGACUCUCUUUAGAUCAUGGGAAAGCCAGUUUCAACUUUUUCAGUGUGAUCCUGAAGAUUAGCCCUGAGCUAAUCUGUGCCAAUCCUCUAUUCUUUUGUGUAUGGGACACCUCCACAGCAUGGCUGGUGAGUGGAGUAGGGCCUUGUUUCCGUUCUUGGCUUCUGUGAGAAAGAACAAGGUGAGAAUGGAGCUCCAAGGCAAAUGAAGCCGCCCCAGCCACCACGAGGGACUUUCAUGUUGCUAUGGACUCUAUUUCAGACAUUUGAAAUUUUGAGUCAUAGGAGAUGUGGCUGGAUCUUCCACCAGUCAAUUUGGCUUGAGUGGUAGGAGCAGGGCCUGCAGAACUCAUAGGAAGAGAAUUGGCCAAAAAUGUUAAAACAUAUAGGUCAUGAAGUUCUUAUUGAAUAUAAACUA